CCCCCAGUAACUGCGAGUGAAGAGGGAAGAGCUCAUCAUUGGAAUCUGGCAGCGUUGCGCUGUCCGAGUUGUAGAUGAGAAGAGUAGGACAUCUGGACUGCAUGGUGUCCAAGUACAAUAGGCCGUCAGUGGGACAUCAUAGAGGGUGACAAUCCCGUCCUUGACACCAAUGUACGAGUCCUUUACGAUGCCUAUCUCGGAGAGUCGAGCAGUUUGGGAUUUGCUGCUUAAACACGGGAGGUAGAUUCCUUCCAAAGCUAAAUACAGGCAAGAGACCGAUAGUGAACAAGUACCGCAAGGGAAAGAUGAAAUAGAACUCUGUGAAGGGAGUCAAAAAGACGUGAAAUUGUUGCGAGAGAAGCGAUUCAAGUCAGCGUAGCUGGGCCCAUCAAGCCUCGCGCUUUGGACCAGCUUUGCCAGCGGUCUUGUCCCUAGAGACUUGACUAAGGUGCCCUGCCCGGUCUAACGGACAGACCUCCCCUCUGGGGAGGCCAGUGGCAUGGCUGGUGGAAUGGCUUGCAAUCGACCCGUCUUGAAACACGGACCAAGGAGUCUAACAUGUACGCGAGUAUAAGGGUGGCAAACCCGUAUGCGCAAAGAAAGUGAUAGCCUAUGGCUGAGAAUGACCUGACGACCUGACAAGAAAUAUCAUGUCCCUCGUACGGUCAUUGCCCAAGUCCCAUGGUCAGAUCCCAUGGACAUGGAGUUGGAGCGUGCAUGCUAGGACCCGAAAGAUGGUGAACUAUGCCUGGACAAAGCGAAGCCAAAGGAAACUCUGGUGGAGGCUUGUAGCGAUUCUGACGUGCAAAUCGAUCGUCUGAUCUGGGUAUAGGGGCGAAAGACUAAUCGAACCAUCUCAUAGCUGGUUCCUGCCGAAGUUUCCCUCAGAUAGCAGAGACGUUGUGGAAGUUGCAUGUGGUAAAGCGAAUGAUUAUUGACCCUGGGGCUCAAAUGGACCUCAAUCUAUUCUCAAACUGUGAAUGCGUGCGGUUGG
Molecule: ribosomal RNA, 994 nt
Filed under: Cantharellus sinominor
Lineage: Eukaryota; Fungi; Basidiomycota; Agaricomycetes; Cantharellales; Hydnaceae
Description: partial large subunit ribosomal RNA
Rfam family: Eukaryotic large subunit ribosomal RNA
Source: RNAcentral